RNAcentral lists this long non-coding RNA (666 nucleotides) under Corvus moneduloides (New Caledonian crow). RNAcentral's name for it is "lncRNA (ENSCMUG00000017931.1)". The record is from RNAcentral. Lineage: Eukaryota; Metazoa; Chordata; Aves; Passeriformes; Corvidae.
AUGGUGCGUGAUUGCCUUCAACCUGGCAUCACUUUGGAGAGCUGCUUGGGCAUGGUCCCUCUCAUCCAGGCAGAUGCUUCUAGAUGCUUCAGGAAAAGUGCUGUGUCAGCUUGCCCUGCUAUUCCCAAUGCACAGAAAAUUUGGGGGAUGACCAGAAAAUGCAGCCCAGCUCUACAGAAGCCUCCCAGUAGGCCUCGAGGUGUCUGCACUAAUGAUCUGCAAGCUGUCCAUGAGGGGUACAUCCAGGUGUCCAGAAGCCAAUUCUGCAAUCUGUCCAUCAGGGGUUCCAUCCAGGUGUCCAGAACAAAGGCCUCCAGGUGUCUGGAAAAUAAGAUCCACAGGGUGUCCAUGAGAAGUCCAUCCAGGUGUCCAGAAGAAACAAUCUUCUCAAAGACCAGUGGAUUUCCAUGUCCCUGGAUUCCACCCCACUGCUACCUACUGCAUCAGACUUCGAGUCAGUGCAACAAAACAGACAUUUCCCAUCUGACAAUGGAGGCUUUUCCUCUUGGCUUCAAAACCCACUCACCUCAAUUAGCAAGACCUGAAGACAUUUUGAUAAGCUUAAGCCAGGACAUGUUCUGUAAAGAAAACAGCCCUGCUGAAAGGGUUGCUGCUCUGGGGGGCCCUUUUCUGCUGCUUUUGGAGUGUAACAACCACUUACAUUAA